GUGAAGGGUGAUUGUAAUGUAUGGCGUGAUGUUACGUCUGAAGAAAUAAAAGACACGAACAAUAAGAUAAAGGGGAGAGAUAGAUACAUUAGUAAAUGUGAUUUAAUUAAAACAUGAAGUACACCUGACUGAACAAAGUUACUAAAAACCAGUGAGGAAAUGAGAUCUGUGGAGAAAGAACUUGUCAAGUUAAAACAAUCCCUGUCCAGGAAUGAGAAUAGGGAUAGGAAUAUGGCGGGUCAGGUGAGACAGAAGAUACAGUCCAUGGAGAGAUAUCUUGAACGAUUAAAAACCUCCGAGUCUACCAUGCAAACACAUCAACAAAAACGAAAUGAUCAUAAAAAACUUACUGUGUUUUGACAAAAAGUUUUAUUUAAUUAAUAAGAUAAAUUGUUACAUUUUUUUUUUAUCUGUCAUGAAAUAAAAUACAGAAAUCUAACCACAA
This is a long non-coding RNA of Ruditapes philippinarum (Manila clam), 445 nucleotides long. RefSeq lists it as uncharacterized. NCBI's taxonomy places the organism in Eukaryota, Metazoa, Mollusca, Bivalvia, Venerida, Veneridae. The record is from RefSeq and is a predicted model, not a curated record. The transcript has 3 exons.